AGUGAACGCUGGCGGUAGGCCUAACACAUGCAAGUCGAACGGCAGCACAGUAAGAGCUUGCUCUUACGGGUGGCGAGUGGCGGACGGGUGAGGAAUACAUCGGACUCUACUUUUUCGUGGGGGAUAACGUAGGGAAACUUACGCUAAUACCGCAUACGACCUACGGGUGAAAGCAGGGGAUCUUCUGACCUUGCGCGAUUGAAUGAGCCGAUGUCGGAUUAGCUAGUUGGCGGGGGAAAGGCCCACCAAGGCGACGAUCCGUAGCUGGUCUGAGAGGAUGGUAAGCCACACUGGAACUGAGACACGGUCCAGACUCCUACGGGAGGCAGCAGUGGGGAAUAUUGGACAAUGGGCGCAAGCCUGAUCCAGCCAUACCGCGUGGGUGAAGAAGGCCUUCGGGUUGUAAAGCCCUUUUGUGGGGAAAGAAAAGCAGCAGGUUAAUACCCCGCGGUUCUGACGGUACCCAAAGAAUAAGCACCGGCUAACUUCGUG
RNAcentral lists this ribosomal RNA (492 nucleotides) under uncultured bacterium. RNAcentral's name for it is "partial 16S ribosomal RNA". It matches the Rfam family "Bacterial small subunit ribosomal RNA", at positions 29 to 507 of the family's 1533-position model. The record is from RNAcentral.